Molecule: ribosomal RNA, 503 nt
Filed under: uncultured bacterium
Lineage: Bacteria
Description: bacterial SSU rRNA
Rfam family: Bacterial small subunit ribosomal RNA
Source: RNAcentral
AACGAACGCUGGCGGCGUGGAUUAGGCAUGCAAGUCGAACGGAACUUCUAGCUUUUUCGGAAGUUUAGUGGCGAAAGGGUGAGUAACACGUGACUAACCUGCCCUUGGGCUCGGGAUAACUUGCCGAAAGGCGAGCUAAUACCGGAUACGUUCUUGUUUCUUAACUGGGACAAGAAGAAAGAUGGGGACUUCUUCGGAAGCCUGUCACCUUUGGAUGGGGUCGCGGCCUAUCAGCUAGUUGGUGAGGUAACGGCUCACCAAGGCUAAGACGGGUAGCUGGUCUGAGAGGAUGGUCAGCCACACUGGGACUGAGACACGGCCCAGACUCCUACGGGAGGCAGCAGUGGGAAUCUUAGACAAUGGGCGCAAGCCUGAUCUAGCCAUGCCGCGUGAGCGAUGAAGGCCUUAGGGUUGUAAAGCUCUUUCAGUGGGGAAGAUAAUGACUGUACCCACAGAAGAAGCCCCGGCUAACUCCGUGCCAGCAGCCGCGGUAAUGUACAGUG